Molecule: long non-coding RNA, 149 nt
Organism: Photinus pyralis (common eastern firefly)
Lineage: Eukaryota; Metazoa; Arthropoda; Insecta; Coleoptera; Lampyridae
Exons: 3
Source: RefSeq, a predicted model, not a curated record
CUUCCAGAAGCAACGUUACGUACUUUUCUUAGAGAUAUGGCUAGAAAAAAGAGUAGAAAGGUUAGUGGAGCUGCAUUAGCGAAAAUGCUGGGGCGAAAGAGCAAGGAGGCAGUCCAGGAAUCUUCUGUUACGGUUGAUAGCUCCACAGG